RNAcentral lists this long non-coding RNA (1954 nucleotides) under Homo sapiens (human). RNAcentral's name for it is "ghrelin opposite strand/antisense RNA, transcript variant 3 (GHRLOS)". The record is from RNAcentral. Lineage: Eukaryota; Metazoa; Chordata; Mammalia; Primates; Hominidae.
ACAUGGAAGUCUCCAAGCCUGUGCCAUCCACCUGCCAAGGAAAAGCACAAGCUCAAGGCUGUAGGAGGAAGAAAAAUCUAGUCCCUGGGGGUACUGAUGAAUCAGUUGGAUGGUGGGCGUUGGACUGUGAAUUCCUGAUGCCUCUGGGUAAACUCUGGAGGAAAUUCUGUUUCAUUACUUGCACUCAGCCCUCCUAUUUUGUACUAAGGCAGUAGAGCGAGGGAAGCUGCACUGGCUGAGAGGCUGUGGAACCGGAUGAAAAAGCAGCCCCUGAGUCCUGUGGCGUUGGCUCAUACAGUUUGAACAUUUAUUCGCCUCCUGAGCUUGUACAACAGUCGUGGGAGUUGCUGCAGAAGCAAGCGAAAAGCCAGAUGAGCGCUUCUAAACUUAGAGAGAGGAGAGUUGGGGCCUUCCAUUCCCUCCAGUAAAUACUUGUUUUUCUUCCACCGCUGAGGCAAAUGCGGGGUGGCUGAUCACCUGGCAGACAUCUUAGGAAACAGGAGCACCGGUCUGGGAAACUGCUGGCCUGGCCUAACACCUGGCGCUGUGGUGCAGGAGGGCAGCCACUGAGGAUUCUUGAGGAGAGAGAGACCAUAGAAUGAAUGAAAGAGUUGGAAAGACUUUAAAGCUCUGGGAGGCUGAAUCCUUUAUUUCGCUGGAAGAAAAACUGAAUGCCAAGAGGGCCUCACUUUCCCCAAAGCUAUACAGCCAUCAGGGGCAAUGCUGGGAUUCCCCCAUGGAUCUCUUGACUCCUAAUACAGUGCUCUUUCUGAUAUGCCAUCUGGCUCCAUAAUGAACAUUGUGUUCCAGGAAAAUCAGUCUGCGCUGAACAGGAUGGAAUUGGGGCAGGACGUCCAGUGAGGAGGACAUUGAGGCAGUAGAGCAGUUGAUUGCCGAAUGACCACCUACCCUGACUUAAAAGAUCAACCUCAGGGAGGAUUGGAGCUUUCUAGAGUCUCUUGGGACAGCAGAAGCACAGGCCGGGUUGGACUGAAUCUUUAAGUGGACAUGAGGGACAAAGUACCUCCUGUUGGUAAACAUCUCACCACCAACCCACUGUGGUGGCUAAAAUCCCACCUUUAGUCCCAGCAACAUAUGAGCAUGUCACCAGGAGGUCUUCACAGGCCUGUCUGCCACCUGAGUGUAGACAUCUUUUGGCCCUGGAGCCCAGAGAGGCUGAAUGUGGAGAGGGUGGAGAGAGGUCUGUAGUCCUCAGAGAAGACUUGCAGCUUUUUCAGAGCCACCAACCCAUAAAAAAAAAAAUCCCCAAACAGAAAAAUCCUAACUGUGGUGACCAGGUACCUCCUGAGACAUGAAGCCUCCACUUACCUGGACCCUGGAGGCCUCUCCGGGCACAGCUGCCAAUGUUGAUCUUAGAUAAGACCACCAGCAAGUAAACAUCCACUGUGCAAAGCUGUGUUAUCUUUGGGGAACUGAAAUGUCCCCUGGGAGUUGGAAACUCCCCUAGCCACAUACCACAGAGUUGAGGAAGGAAGAGCUGAUGGACGGAAGAACCAUGGCGGGAGGAGUCAUCCGGAAGCUACCUCGCUGCCCUGUCAGUUACGGAACAGAGGAGAGAUGCCGGCUGGAGGACACAGCAAAUUUGAACCAAGAGGAGCUUGGAGGAAGCCCGAGCGACCUGGAGGGGACUGGCUGACCUUCCUCAUUCUUUUCAAGUGUGAAUAAUAACCAAGCCCAGUUUGGCAACUCCUUGAGGGUGAGGACGAAGCCCCAUUCUCCUUUUUGGAACUUGGUGGGGCUCAGGAAGCAGGUUCUCUCCAGUCGGUGGCUUUCCUUUCUGUUGCGGGUCUCUUGAGGGCCUGCCUUCAUGAAGGCACAUGAGUGACUCAUCAUUUGUGAAUUAAUUGCUAUAUGUGAAGGGCAUCUGAGAACAAAUUAUCUUCAUAGACUUUUCAUUAUAAUUUUAUUUGUACUGAAAAAAAAAAAAAAAAAA